GACCUGAGAGGCUAGUUUAGGGACAAAUCAUCGUUCAGAAAAUCUAUCAAUGGGAUCACUAAAAGUUGACAAUAACUCGAUGGCGUAUAAUCCAUUAUUCCUCUCACACACCCCCACACCUCUCUUCCCCUCCUGCGCACAAAUACAGGCGCUUCUUCCAGACCGGGCGCCUUUCCUCAGCGGCUCUCCCCAGGGCCAGGGCACCCCUGGGCUUCUUCCUUUCGGGCCACCUGUCACAUAAUCAGCCGGUCUCUUUGACGAAGCAGCAGCGGGGCUCGCUCUUCCUCGCUUCUCCCCACCCAGCCAGACCAUACAAGACGCGCGCAAAAUCUCCACUCCACAGCCUUCGCGGGAGUCGAGCCGGCGUGGCUGCGGAGAAAGGCCGGCUGAAGAAGUUCCGGCGGCCGCCACACCUACCGAGGCUCCUGGAAAGACGGGCAGCCGCCAGCCCAGCCGGAGGAAGAGGAGGAGGAGAAAGGCGGCGAUCAGCCCAUGAAGCGCAGUCCGCUCGGCGGCUCUCUCUCGGACGGGAAAGGCAGAGGAGGGCGCCGAGUGCCCGAGGCUCUCCAGGCAGCGGCAGGUGUUGAAAAGUACCAUAUGCUGCGUCCGAGUUAUCUAAACGCGGUGGAAAUAAUGUUUGCCUCCAAACGUUUGACGGCCGCAAAGAUAAAGGGCCUGAUGGAAAUCUGGAGUUGGACAAGAAAGCAGCAGGAUAACCAGGAAGAUAGGAAGCAGAGUUUCACUUGCACUGUGUGGAAAUCGAAUGGCUUGCAAGAUAAGUGCCUAUCUAUAAUGGACGUACAGUAAUUUUAUGCUUCGCAAAACUUCUGAAGUACUACUGUAGAAUCAUCGAAAUAAAAUAUUCUCUGUGUUAAAGAGGGAGCAUUGGAUUCUGUUUAUUCAGAUGACUUGCUUUAUCUGAAUAUGGUUAAAACCAGAGAAUGCACAGAAGAUACCAAUAUCUGUGAAAUACUUUUGCAAUGUUCUUUUUCUCUUUGGUAGGAAAGGGCAUAACUCUUCCAAGUUAGAAUGAUUGUAAAUGGCAGUUUCUCUACUGCUGAGUUUGUACAUUGCUUCUUAUUAGGAAGUAGGUACAGGGCAUAUAGUAGCCUAAGAACAAAAAACAGUUGCAUUGUAGUACUUGCUUCCAUUAUACUUUGAGCUUUUGGGAUGAACUUGUCAAUUCAGCAUAGUUUUCUUAUGCUCCAUAAACAUUUCCAUGUCUUUAGCAUUGAUUCCUAUAUCCUGUCUGAAAAUUUUAAAAUAGAG
Molecule: long non-coding RNA, 1269 nt
Filed under: Laticauda laticaudata (blue-ringed sea krait)
Lineage: Eukaryota; Metazoa; Chordata; Lepidosauria; Squamata; Elapidae
Description: lncRNA (ENSLLTG00000006317.1)
Source: RNAcentral